RNAcentral lists this ribosomal RNA (305 nucleotides) under uncultured bacterium. Its description in RNAcentral is "partial 16S ribosomal RNA". It matches the Rfam family "Bacterial small subunit ribosomal RNA", at positions 506 to 807 of the family's 1533-position model. The record is from RNAcentral.
ACAGCAGUAGCCGCGGUAAAACGUAGGUGGCAAGCGUUGUCCGGAAUUAUUGGGCGUAAAGGGCUCGCAGGCGGUUUCUUAAGUCUGAUGUGAAAGCCCCCGGCUCAACCGGGGAGGGUCAUUGGAAACUGGGAAACUUGAGUGCAGAAGAGGAGAGUGGAAUUCCACAUGUAGCGGUGAAAUGCGUAGAGAUGUGGAGGAACACCAGUGGCGAAGGCGACUCUCUGGUCUGUAACUGACGCUGAGGAGCGAAAGCGUGGGGAGCGAACAGGAUUAGAUACCCGCGUAGUCCCUGUCUCUUAUAC